AGGGCACAGCCCACUGUACCUAUAACUUCUUCAUAGACAAGUCACACCCUGUGCUGGAUUUAGCAUCAGAUACAUCACACACACAUGAUGAUCCUUACUCCUCUCCUGGGGUUGCUGCUGGUCUGGCUUUCAGGUGGCAGAUGCGACAUCCAGAUGACCCAGUCUCCAGCCUCCCUUCCUGUGUCUCUGGGAGACACUGUCACCAUCACAUGCCAGGCCAGUCAAGACAUUAACAGUUAUUUAGCAUGGUAUCAGCAGAAACCAGGGAAUCCUCCCAAGCUCCUGAUCUAUUAUGCACAAAACUUGGCCGAUGGGAUCCCAACGAGGUUCAGUGGCAGUGGAUCUGGCACACAGUAUUCUCUCAAGAUCAGUGGCCUGCAGUCUGAAGAUGUUGCAAGUUAUUACUGUCAACAGCAUAGCAGUUUCCCACCCACAGUGAUUCAGGUCAUGACAAAAAUCACCCAGGAAAACAGAAGUGAGAGCCCAGGCUGA
Molecule: non-coding RNA, 492 nt
Organism: Arvicola amphibius (Eurasian water vole)
Lineage: Eukaryota; Metazoa; Chordata; Mammalia; Rodentia; Cricetidae
Source: the annotation of a RefSeq genome assembly